Molecule: non-coding RNA, 71 nt
Organism: Phrynosoma platyrhinos (Desert horned lizard)
Lineage: Eukaryota; Metazoa; Chordata; Lepidosauria; Squamata; Phrynosomatidae
Source: the annotation of a GenBank genome assembly
GCCAGCAUGGCACAGUGGUUUGUGUGUUGGACUGCAACUCUGGAGACCAGGGCUCGAUUCCCUUUCAUCCA